GGGUAGGACAUGUGUGUGAAAUAUUUUGUUCAGCUGUUAACAUUUUUCAGUGCCCUUGUGCCAUAUGGAUUAAAUUGUUCAGAGUCAUGUAGCAACACUACUCUCAACAUUUGGCUGGGCUCGGAGGUCUUGCUCCCAUGCAGCCUUUUGAAAAGUGGAAAAACCGAAGAAGUCAGGUGGAGCCAAACUUCCAGCCUUCUGAGCAUCGGGUCUUCUGGAAAUGUCACCUUUGAGGAUCCUAGGGAUGGCAGAUUGACAGCAUUCCCCUUCCUGUUUGGCAGAGGAAACUUUUCCAUCCUCGUUCAUCAGUUUCAGGCCUCUGACCUGGGCAUCUACUGCUGUCAGCUGAGCCACGAGUGCCAGAGAGUCGAAAUAAAGCUCUCGCAAAGUUCAGAAAGUCACAAAGGAGGCUUAAAUUUCCCAUGGUACUACAUUGUUGCUGGAGUUGGAAUAUUUAUUCUGCUUGUGACUGUAUUUUGUCUUAUCUACAAAUUCAGAGGAAAGUGUCUAAACAGUGCAUCUGAUUCUUAUUACGUCAACCAAGAACAAAGGGAGGGAGAACAUAGAGAUCGUGUUGACCGCACCAAGGUUGAUGAGUGUGAUGGUGAGUAUGAAGACAUAGAGAGUGAUACACAAGGGGCGGAUUAUGAAAACGCAUCAGGAGAAGAUACAAUGAGGGAAGAGCAGGACGAGGAUUAUGUAAACACUGAGAGAAGAAAUGGUCAUGAUCAGUAUUAUGAUACUGACAGAGAGUGCCCUGCUGAACACCAUGUGGAGAGAGAUAUGCAAGGUUACCAUGACAAUGAUGUCUAUGGUGACUGAAACUCAUCAUCAGCAGCAGCAGCUUUCAGAAAAAUGCCAAAUCAGCAGCCGGGUUCAGUAGGACUGUACUAUGCCAAUCAGUCAGAGAUAGACAAGUCUCGCUGUGCUAGGAACAGAAACAAAGACAAAGCAGAAUAUCAGUUCAAAAAUCCAUUAUAUGACCGAACUCCAGCAAACAAUAAAUAAACAGUCAUCUUCCAACUCACUGAAAACAUGCCUGUUUAAGUUUAUGUACUGUAAUAUUCUGUAAUGGUAUUGUUCCACUGGAUUUGUGACUUAGGAAAUAGUGAAAAUGGGUACAUGGUUCUGGUUUAUACUGCAUAAAGAUGUCUGAGGUCGUGUAUCAGUGUGAUUUCUUUCAUUGUUUAUCAGGCUUAAUCAUCAUCAGUUAUAUACUUUUGAGAUAUUUUUUCUUGUGAAGAUAAAUCAAUAAAUAGGUCCUUAACUCUUUCUUUUGAGUCUGAUUAUUUUGUGCUGAGUUUCUGAUUAAUGCAGUAUUUAUGAAGCUAAAAAUCUUUCCUCCUAGGCUCGUUUUUAGAUCUAUGAGGCCUUCUGUCUUCAGCAUGUGCGUCUGCUAGAGAGAGAAUGUUCUUCA
This is a long non-coding RNA of Ictalurus punctatus (channel catfish), 1417 nucleotides long. Lineage: Eukaryota; Metazoa; Chordata; Actinopteri; Siluriformes; Ictaluridae. The record is from Ensembl.